UUCAAUCAGGCCCAGAUUUCCCAAAGCCUCAAUGGCCUCAUAUGCCUCAGUUCCAUAGGCAAAUCAGAAUAUAGGUUCAUCAAAGUUCCCUAAGGAUCUCAAGGAUCAUGGGCUUACACCUAGACUUGGUAACUAAAGAUUGAACAAGUGUAGUAUGGAAAGGCCAACCUCGGUAUGCCAGAGCUCAUAGGGUUCUCAAAAGGAUCCCAAUGCAGUACACACACUAGAGGGGGCAGAACAUAUUGACUAAGAGUAUAGUGAAAAGUGAUGAACACAAGUUAGAAGGUUUUUGUAAGAAACUGUAUUUAACAAAAGUCUUUUUUGAAUGUAAUUUAGUAAAGCAACAGAGAUUGUUUUAAAAAAGAGAUUGAAGUAGUUAACAAAGUCCAAAAACCUUAGGCUAGGUUCAUACCCAGCCAGGAGUCAGAGCAUCAAGGCAGGUUUAGUAGUCAUAAUGUCAUGACCCCAGCCCCGGUCGUGAUGGCGCCCAACACACUGCUAGGCAAGCCCGACCAACUAAUAACCUUAACUAUUUCUAUAUAGUUCAUGAUUAAUUAACACAGAUAAAUUACCGAGUCAUAAUAUUGGAAAUCUAAAAUAGAGAUAAAACAUGCGGAAUCCCAAAUAACAAUACUACUACAUAGCCCGAAGAAUCCGAUGUCACAAGUCUGAGCCUCUAAUACAUGAGUAUCAACCUACUAUAUAUCGUUCUAAAAAAGUAUGGAAUGAAGCAAUAAGAUAAAGGGAAGAUCAGGGUUGCGAACUUCAUGAACCUACCUUGAUGCUCCCGGAUACGUACUGCCUAGUUGGAAGUCCUCAACAGUCUAAGAUGCACUUGGAUCUGCACGCAAGGUGCAGGAGUAAUGUAAGUACUCCGACCCAGUGAGUAAUAAACAUAAAUAAAGGCUGAGAGUAAAAAAUCAUGAAUAGACACACUGUAAUCUAUAUUACAACAGUUUAAACUAAGUAUUAUGAAAUUAGUAAACCAAUGAAAAUGAAAUAUGGAAAUAUUACAACAGAUAAUCAAAUGAAUGACAGUCAAAUAAAGAAAUGCAACACAUAGUGCGGUACCCUCUAGUACCCGCUGCGGUGUACGGACCGAUCCAUUUAUUUAUCAUCGACAGCGCUCACUAGGGGUGUGCAGACUCCGGAAGAGGCCCCUUAAGGUCCAAGCGCAAUAUCAAUCCAUCUCGUGGAAUCAACUAGUCCCUCGGCCUCAUAUGAAUAUCAAUAUAACACUAUUGCAGCGUGUAACCCAAUCCCAUACUCAGUCCAGAAUCACAAAAGCCCCUCAGGCAAUAAUAAAAUAGUAGUUCCUAGCCCAAAACAUCAUUAGAAAUGUCACUUAAGUUUCAAAUCUGAGUAAAUGUGGCUGAGUUUGCAAAACAAUGUUAAACAAUAGGACCGUGUUCAAGUAAUAUGUAAAUAUAAUGAGGAAACACUAAUAACAACCCUCGAAGGGUCCGAAUAGUUAACACAAAACGCAUAUAUGACAAUUAAUCCAAAUAAUGAUGAUAUCAAAGAAGUUUCAAUCAAAUACACAAUAAAAACAACCCUCGAGACGGACCAAGUCACAAUCCUCAAUAGUAAACGAACCCGCACUCAUCAUCAAGUGCGUGUCUCACCUCAAUAUAGCACUACGAUGUGCAAAUCCGGGGUUUUAAACCCUCGGGACAUCAUUCACAUUCAUUACUCACCUCAAGCCGGCCAAAACUCUAGCUCGUUAUGCCCUUGCCUCUCAAAUCAGACUCCUCGCACGUUGAAUCUGAUCAAAACCACAACGAAUAUAUCACAAUAUGCUAAGGGAAAAAAACCCAAUCGAAAACAAUCAAAAAAUAUUAAAAUUCCAAAAUUAGCAAAACCUUAGCCCCGACCCACUUCUCGAAAUUCAGAAAUUUUCACAUCAACGGGUUCCUUAUCUCGCCACGAGUCCAUACAUAUCAAGAACUCUCAAAUCUGACCUCAAAUGACCCUUCAAAUCCCAAUUUAAAAUCUCAAAAUCCCAAGCCCUAGAUCUUCCAGUUUUAGUUAAGUUUCCAUGAAUUUAUAAGUUAAUUUCACAUAAUAAUCACAUUUUUAGUUCAUAGGACUUACCUCCAAUCAAUUCCCUUCGAAUCCCUCUUCAAUUUCUCCCAAAGAGCUCUCAAAAUGUCCAACAGUGGUGGAAAUAUGACUUAGACUCGCGAAGGAAAUGUUUUAAAACAUUCUGCCCAGAUCAUGUAGCCCCUUCGUCGCGAUCGCACUCGCGACCUCAUCCCCGCGAUCGCGAAUCACCUUUUAUUUUAUUUUUCUCAGAAAUUACCUUAUGCGAACGCGAGUCCUCCCCCGCGAAUGCGAUGCUUUGACUCCUCAAGCUACGCGAACGCGUCUCGAUUCACGCGAACACGAAGAACACUUGCCUCGGGAUUUCCAAACCUUAUACGCGAAUGCGGCCUGUCUUCCAAGAAUGCGAAGCACAAGCAGCUCCCAAUCCGCGAAUGCGGUCCCUUAGUCGCGAACGCGAAGCACAAACUUUGACCUAUUCCAAAUCCUUCUACGCGAUCGUGAUGACCAAAAUCCUUUACAAUAGCUACUGCAAUUUCUACUACAUUUACAAAUCCAAAACUUACUGUUUAGCCAUCCGAAAUUACCCCGAGUCACCCGGGACCACAACAAAAAGUACCAACACCCCCUAAAACAUCAUUCAAACUUGUUCCAAUCAACAAAACACAUCAAACAACACCAAAACCAUCAAUUACAUCAAAUUCAAGCCUAAGUUUUUCAGAAACUUUUGAAACACGCAUUCGACAAAAAACCCAACCAGAAUGACCUGAGAUUUUGCACACACAUCCCAAAUCAUAUAACAAAGCUACAAAAACUCUUGAAAUUCCAUUCCAGCCCUCGGAUCAAAAUCACACCUAUUAACCGGAAUUUGCCAAAAUAUUAACUUCACCAAUUCAAGACUAAUUCUACAUCGGACCUCGAAAAUCACUUACGAUCACACUCCUAAGACACAAUUCACCUCCCAAAGCUAACUAAACAAUUGAAAUUCGCAUCCGAUCCAUGUAACUCAUAAGCCAACAUCCGAUUGAAUUUUUCCAACUUAAACCUUCUUAAAAGAGACUAAAUAUCGCAUUUCCUACUGAACCCACUCCAAACCAACCCGAUCACACAAGACACUGAUAAUGAAGCAUAAAGAAGGAAAAAGUGGGGGAAACGGAGCGGUAACUCAUGAGAUGAUGGGUCGCGUCGUCACACACAAAUAUGGGUAAAGGGGGUUUGGAAAAAAACAUAGGACACACAUAGUUAAGCAAAGACCUGGAAAUUAGUAGUCAUGCCCAGAAGUAGCUAACUAGACAUAGUCACAGAAUCAUACAUAAUGAAUAGACUCACAUGCAAGGGGAUAUGGAUUUAGGAGAUCCAUGGUGUUAAACAUAUAACAAGUAAGGGAUGAUUAUUAUAGGCAUGCUCAGAGAUAAACAGAAGGAGGAAUAUUCUGAUCUCAAGGGGAGGGGAAGACAUGAUAACAUGCUAAUAAUAUAACCCUUAACUACAAGUUUCACAACAGAACCACAAAUAGAAGCAAAUCAGAAACAAGAGGAAUUGAAACAAUAAGAGAAUCAUAUUGUUGUUGGAACUUUGAAUUGAAACUAGGACAUACCAGUGAAGAGGAUAGUAAGUAGAGUGAAAGAACAAGAAAACACAAAUGGUUAACCUUGGCUUGCAACCGUCUAUCUUAGAGCAGUAGCAAGUAGCACAAGAGAGAGAGCGAAAAAUUAUAAGAAUGAGAGAUAGUUUUGAACCAAGUGUUCGUGUUUGUGUGUGUUAAUGAGAGAGACUAUAUAUUGUCCGAAACUAGGCAGAGUAAUAAGGUAAGAAUCAAAGUCAAGCAGUAGUUAUGGAACUAAGUAUCAAUUAGUAUAAAAUUAGUAGAAGUACUCCCUUAAUUAAGGGAGUUAAUUUCAAACGGUAAAGACAGAUAAGGAAAGAGAUCACAGAAGACAUGGACUAUAACACAUAAGAAAAUAAUUUCAGCAUAGUGCAAGUAUAGAACAUGCAAUUAAGGCCAGGUACAUAAUAUUCCAAUUAAGGAAAUAACAUAAGAGUCAGUUGACAGCAUAAUCGACCAAAAAAUAAGGCAAUAAAAAUGACUGAGAGGUUGAAAAUCAGUAUAGAAUAUCAAUAGAUAUUAGAAGGAUAUCAAUCAUAGGGAAUCAAGAAUUUCGAUGGACAAUAUUACUAAUUUUAGGGUAAAUUACCAUAAAUUUCUAUGAACAAAUAGAAUAAACACACAAUAGGAUAGAAGAGGUAAAAUCAAAAACCUUUAAUAUCACAGUGAGGUAAAAAUCAAGCAAAAUUAGGGAUUCGUAUAGAAUAUAGCACUAAUUAGAGGAGUUAAUAGAAUAAACAUAGUAUAGGCGGAAGAAGCAGAAAUUAAAAACCCUAAUGGGCAUAGUAUGGUAAAAAUCACACAAGACUCAGGGAUUCAUGAGACAAGCAACAUAUAGAUUAGACGAAUAAAUUGUCAAACACAGACUCAGAAUCCAGGGUCAAAACCAAGAACUGGUUUUCAACAUAGACGAGUUGAAAAAGGAGAAAACCCAAAGAACCAAUCGACAUAUUCAAAGGGAAGAGGUUUAAACACGAAGAUCGAUUUAAAUAGAGUGCAGAAAAGUUCCGUAGACACUAACUUUUAAAGGAAAGUAAAACAACUCGCAAUCGAUGAUUUUUUGCAAAAGAGGUUUGAGAAUAGUAUAAAACAUAGAAAGAAAUAGACUCGAAUAGUUAAAAAUAGCACAGAUCUAAGAGAUACAAACAAAAGUUAGGGUUUCAAAGGCAGCCCAAAUAGAAAUGGAAGAACCUGCUAUAAACUUCAAAGAUCGUAGCAAAUGUAGAGUGAUUUCGCUCAAAAUCACACUAGAGAAGCCAUGAAUAGACAAAAUAGUAACCCUAGAUACAAGUCGGCAUGGCCCAGGGCCCUUAAAGGCCUCAGAGAUAAUGAGCAAGGUGAUGGGAGAACUAUUGUGCUGAAAGGUGGUCAUCGGAAAGGACCAGAGAAGGAGGGGGUGUUUGAAGAGGGAUUAGGGUUAGGUUGAGAGAAGAGAGGAGACCAUAGGAUCCAAAGGUGGAGAAGGUUUGGAAAUAAGGUAGAGUUAGGUGGUAUUUUGAAUUAAAAAAGAAAAUGGCUCGAACGGACCAUUGAUCUAGGAGAUCAACGGUCAGGAUUUGAUCGGGUAUAUGGGUUUCGGGUUUGGGUAGGUGUAUAUAGUUUCUGGGUCGGGUUAAUUGAAUAUGAAUUUGGACUGGGGAAUGGGUUCAAUUUGGGCCAUAAUUGAAAGCCAAAUCUGGCUAUAAUUUAAAUAGCUAUGUUUUCCUACCUAAUUUAUAAUAAAUAAUAAAUAGUUUUUUGAAAAUAAUUUUCAAUACCAAAAUGAUUUAAAAUAUUUAAUUGUAAUUUUAAAAAUAUAGGGACCAAUUUUAUGCAUAUAAAAUGUAAC
This 5477-nucleotide long non-coding RNA is filed under the name Nicotiana benthamiana. RNAcentral describes it as "long non-coding RNA (NBEN_LNC004117)". The record is from RNAcentral. Lineage: Eukaryota; Viridiplantae; Streptophyta; Magnoliopsida; Solanales; Solanaceae.